Molecule: ribosomal RNA, 1213 nt
Filed under: Lactobacillus helveticus
Lineage: Bacteria; Bacillati; Bacillota; Bacilli; Lactobacillales; Lactobacillaceae
Description: bacterial SSU rRNA
Rfam family: Bacterial small subunit ribosomal RNA
Source: RNAcentral
ACGCUGGGGACGCGAGCGGCGGAUGGGUGAGUAACACGUGGGGAACCUGCCCCAUAGUCUGGGAUACCACUUGGAAACAGGUGCUAAUACCGGAUAAGAAAGCAGAUCGCAUGAUCAGCUUAUAAAAGGCGGCGUAAGCUGUCGCUAUGGGAUGGCCCCGCGGUGCAUUAGCUAGUUGGUAAGGUAACGGCUUACCAAGGCAAUGAUGCAUAGCCGAGUUGAGAGACUGAUCGGCCACAUUGGGACUGAGACACGGCCCAAACUCCUACGGGAGGCAGCAGUAGGGAAUCUUCCACAAUGGACGCAAGUCUGAUGGAGCAACGCCGCGUGAGUGAAGAAGGUUUUCGGAUCGUAAAGCUCUGUUGUUGGUGAAGAAGGAUAGAGGUAGUAACUGGCCUUUAUUUGACGGUAAUCAACCAGAAAGUCACGGCUAACUACGUGCCAGCAGCCGCGGUAAUACGUAGGUGGCAAGCGUUGUCCGGAUUUAUUGGGCGUAAAGCGAGCGCAGGCGGAAGAAUAAGUCUGAUGUGAAAGCCCUCGGCUUAACCGAGGAACUGCAUCGGAAACUGUUUUUCUUGAGUGCAGAAGAGGAGAGUGGAAUUCCAUGUGUAGCGGUGGAAUGCGUAGAUAUAUGGAAGAACACCAGUGGCGAAGGCGACUCUCUGGUCUGCAACUGACGCUGAGGCUCGAAAGCAUGGGUAGCGAACAGGAUUAGAUACCCUGGUAGUCCAUGCCGUAAACGAUGAGUGCUAAGUGUUGGGAGGUUUCCGCCUCUCAGUGCUGCAGCUAACGCAUUAAGCACUCCGCCUGGGGAGUACGACCGCAAGGUUGAAACUCAAAGGAAUUGACGGGGGCCCGCACAAGCGGUGGAGCAUGUGGUUUAAUUCGAAGCAACGCGAAGAACCUUACCAGGUCUUGACAUCUAGUGCCAUCCUAAGAGAUUAGGAGUUCCCUUCGGGGACGCUAAGACAGGUGGUGCAUGGCUGUCGUCAGCUCGUGUCGUGAGAUGUUGGGUUAAGUCCCGCAACGAGCGCAACCCUUGUUAUUAGUUGCCAGCAUUAAGUUGGGCACUCUAAUGAGACUGCCGGUGAUAAACCGGAGGAAGGUGGGGAUGACGUCAAGUCAUCAUGCCCCUUAUGACCUGGGCUACACACGUGCUACAAUGGACAGUACAACGAGAAGCGAGCCUGCGAAGGCAAGCGAAUCUCUGAAA